RNAcentral lists this transfer RNA (77 nucleotides) under Bacillota bacterium. RNAcentral's name for it is "Firmicutes bacterium (anaerobic digester metagenome) tRNA-Val". It matches the Rfam family "tRNA". From Rfam's summary of the family: Transfer RNA (tRNA) molecules are approximately 80 nucleotides in length. Lineage: Bacteria; Bacillati; Bacillota. The record is from RNAcentral.
GGGCUCGUAGCUCAGCUGGUUAGAGUGCUUGCUUGACAUGCAAGAGGUCCCCCGUUCAAGUCGGGGCGGGCCCACCA